GAAUGAAACAAUGAACACAUGAAGUUUCCAUUUAUUCUGGGAUGAGUUAGAAUGAGCAUUCAGGCCAAGAAGGCUUGCUGGUGUGUGGCCCAUAAUUGUGUCCAGAAGUCUCUGGAUAGGCUUGCAAAGGGCAGCGUGGGGCUCACACCCGCAGACUGAAUCCUAAGGCUGAGCCCAGCGGCAAAAAGCCAGACCUGGGGGACCAGGUCAGUACUGAAGGGUGGGACGGGCCUUGCCAACUGCACAAGAAUGAUCAGUGGCCAGAGGGACAGUGCACAUUCCCUUGCCAGAGUGGAAGCAACUGGGCAUCGACUUCCAGGUCAGACUGGAUCCCAGCCCAUCGGGACAACCAGGACCCUAGUGAUUCUGCUCAAUGGACAAAGGUGGAAAUCUUGUAUCUGCAUCCCAUUAUUACUGUUUAGAGCACCCCCCUUUGGUCCUCGGUCUUAACCACCCCACACCUUCCCGUGGGAUCAGCUGAAAUUCCCUGCAAGGCUCUUCCCAUCAUCUCAGCCCACCAUGCAUGUGUCCAGGUGUUCCCUCAGUCAUGAGGUCUUUCCCCCUUCCUCCCUCCAAAGGCAUCCUGAGCCCUCUGGGAUAGUGUCCAGUCCUGGGUCACUGACCCUCGUGCGCCUAUCCACCAAGUAAGUACCCUACCCUAAUCCACUUGCUGAGCAUGUGGGCCACUGGCUCUUCCUGCUGACAUUCCUGGCAAGCUCUGCUGGUGACUGAAUGACACAGGACACCCUCCUCUGGCAGCAUAUGGGCUGAGGCAUCCCUCUGUUGCCCACUGUGUCCCUGGCCAAGGAGGACCUGGAGAAGCAUCUCAGCGAGAACUUCCUCCAAGCUGGCUUCCUGAGCUUGGAGGGCAACAGGCCUGGAGAGACCUUGGUCAGCUCUGAAUGAAUGACAUGCCAGCACCCAGGUCUUCUUCAUGCUUAUGGUGGCGGCCACAAUCUGAACCCAGUUGCCUGGAAUGGCAGGUCCUGAGGGCUGAGAUACUGUCACUGGCCAAAUGCAUAACACUGCCAUUAGCACCAACGAAGUCCUCAAGCAGUAAGGGUGCCGAGGGAUGUGUGCUCAUGAGCUGUUGCCUUGGGACAGGUACCCGCCAUGGUGAUCCUGGCAGUGGUCAACAAACUCCCAGGGCUGUGCCACCAGCAUGGGAUAAAGCCUUCACUCAACCCUUUCAGUGAGCUGAAUUGUGCUCCUGCAAAAAUGUACAUCCAAGUCUUAACUGCCGACACACCCAUGAAUGUGAAGGAUGUUGGGAUGCACUCUCCCUGGAUUAGCGUGGAGCUGAAAUCCAAUGACUUGGUUCCUUAGAAGAAAGGAGUAGAUCUGAGACACAGGCUCACGGGGAGGUCACAUGAAGGAGGUGGCUCCUAGAGUGAUGCUGUCACGAGGCUCAAGUUACCAGAAGCUGGAAGAAACAAGGAAAGAUUCUCCUUCUCAGAUACUGCUCUGUUCUUGGCAAUGAAUGUCAAUCAGAUCAACAAAGCUUGUCUUGGCUUUGGGAGCGCUCAGGCCAGGUUCAAGGAUUCAGACAGGCAUCCACAUGAGACAAGCAACCCAAACAAACCCUUUUUCACAAGAGGAACAUGGCACCAAGUCAUUCAUAACUCCCUGAGGCCUCCACAUCAAGAUGGCCUGGGAGUUCUCCACUGCCUUCCUCAAGAUUCCUGCCCUUGUGAAGGUCUACAUUCAGAAAACUUCAAUGUGGUGGCAGUCACUGCUUCAGAAAUGGACAGUGAGAGACCUGUGCUGAGCAGACAAGCCCAUGGUUUGAAGGUGUUUGGCAGGCAGGGCAGGGUGUUCUUCCUCAUGGGUUUCUUCUGAGUGGAAUACGAGAUCCCAUGUAACUGGGGUGCUGGCCCCAGCCAAACUUGGAAU
This 1893-nucleotide long non-coding RNA is filed under the name Canis lupus familiaris (dog). RNAcentral's name for it is "lncRNA (ENSCAFG00000054221.1, ENSCAFG00805031029.1)". The record is from RNAcentral. Lineage: Eukaryota; Metazoa; Chordata; Mammalia; Carnivora; Canidae.